This 255-nucleotide ribosomal RNA is filed under the name uncultured bacterium. Its description in RNAcentral is "partial 16S ribosomal RNA". It matches the Rfam family "Bacterial small subunit ribosomal RNA", at positions 1235 to 1500 of the family's 1533-position model. The record is from RNAcentral.
CGGCACAGAGGGAAGCCAGGUGGCGACACCGCGCGGAACCGAAGCCGUUCUCAGUUCGGAUCAGAGUCUGCAACCCGACUCCGUGAAGCUGGAUUCGCUAGUAAUCGCGCAUCAGCCAUGGCGCGGUGAAUACGUUCCCGGGCCUUGUACACACCGCCCGUCAAGCCAUGGGAGCCGGGGGUGCUUGAAGUGCGUCGCCGCAAGGCGCGCCCUAGAGCAAAACCGGUGACUGGGGCUAAGUCGUAACAAGGUACC